GACGAACGCUGGCGGCGUGCUUAACACAUGCAAGUCGAACGGAAAGGCCCUGCUUUUGUGGGGUGCUCGAGUGGCGAACGGGUGAGUAACACGUGAGUAACCUGCCCUUGACUUUGGGAUACUUCAGGAAACUGGGGCUAAUACCGGAUAGGAGCUCCUGCUGCAUGGGGGGGGGUGGAAAGUUUCGGCGGUUGGGGAUGGACUCGCGGCUUAUCAGCUUGUUGGUGGGGUAGUGGCUUACCAAGGCUUUGACGGGUAGCCGGCCUGAGAGGGUGACCGGCCACAUUGGGACUGAGAUACGGCCCAGACUCCUACGGGAGGCAGCAGUGGGGAAUAUUGCACAAUGGGCGGAAGCCUGAUGCAGCAACGCCGCGUGCGGGAUGACGGCCUUCGGGUUGUAAACCGCUUUCGCCUGUGACGAAGCGUGAGUGACGGUAAUGGGUAAAGAAGCACCGGCUAACUACGUG
Molecule: ribosomal RNA, 467 nt
Filed under: uncultured bacterium
Lineage: Bacteria
Description: partial 16S ribosomal RNA
Rfam family: Bacterial small subunit ribosomal RNA
Source: RNAcentral